AGGAGAGGAGAAGAAGAAAGAGAGGAGAAGAAGAAGGAGAGGAGAAGAAGAAAGAGAAGAGAGAAAGAAAGAGAGGAGAAGAAGAAAGAGAGGAGAAGAAUGAAACAAAACUAAACCAUUUUUACUACUUGGCCAGGCACACAUUCCUCCAGCUUUCAGGAAUGUACUGUAUACCAAGGAAUCACAGAGAAAACUGAAGUUCCACUGGAGACCCACAGCGACAUUCUCUCUAUCGGAUACUGUCACCACACACUCAUGUAAACAAGCUGUGAAGAGAUCUGACUCUAGAUAGUGUGAAAUAACACUCUACAAAUUAAAUAUUAUGCUUAUUAAAAACCAUAUCAUUGUAUCAAAAUGAACCAAUAGAGUUGCAUGUAAACGAAGUAUGCCAACAGCUGCAAAUAAUCAAGCCACAGUCCCGCCAUAAUCAUGGUCACACAGUGAGUACUACUUACCGAAGCAGCCGACGCGCACACAUCCCAUAGUCCUGCAGAAAACACACACACACACAUUAGUUCAAACAGCAGCACUCACAACCAAUGAUCAGGUUUCAUAUGAUCAGAUUCAUAUCAUGGUAAAUAUACACUCAGAAAUGACACGGGAGUUUGCUUAUUAAUCCUCAGCUAAUAUGGUGAGAUACAAAAAGUAAUUAAGAAAUAUCUUCAUUCUAUAUUUAUUAUAAUAACCAGGUUAAGGAAAUUAAUGAGCAUUGAGAGAAAUUCUGUCUCCAUGGUUACUCUGUUACCUAAUAGUCAGUCAAUAAAACCCUAAGGGAAAUCCCUAUACAAGGGAGUUACUUCAGGAAAUUCUUUGCUACUGUGUGUGGUUGGCCUAAACACAGGGCCCAGUUUUUCAAAAGUUAUCUAUUCGUAUUUCAGCUAUGGGAUAGGAUUAAAUGCAUAGAAGUUUAAUGAAUAGAACGGGAGUCCCCAUUCAAGUCAAUGAUUUGUCUAUUCAUUCUAUUUCUAUGCAUUUAAUCCUAACCGAUAGGGCGAAGUCCAGAUAUAUAACUUUUUAAAAACUGUCUGGCUAUCUAGGCUGGCUAUCUAGACAAUCGUGCGGUACUGUACUAGUGCCUCGUGAGAUAUUUGUCGUCAUGGUUAUUGGUUCAUCUCAGGGAUUGGUAGUUAAGGAUAGGAGUUCAGAGUUGAUUUAACGUUAAUCUGAAGAGAAUCAAACAACAAUUCUGUUCUUCAAUCGUGUGUCUUUUACACUUUGUCUUGCAAGGACUUUGAUAUGUGUUGCAUACCUGAGUGUAAAGAUAUAAAAACGAUCAGUAGAAUGUGACAGGCCAGAGGAUUGUGCGGGGGCAGACGAAGGGAACUGGCUUGGUUGUCAGAUACGUUUCUAAUUAAUAAGCCAGGGGGAAUCCCCAGAAAUAUACAUCUGCGUUGUUAUGGUUUCAGCUUGUAGGAUGAGUUUCAUGAACACAGGUUACAGUAUCAACAGUACAGAAGAACUAUACAUUGUUGCUUUAUAUUCCAUAUAUUGCUAUAAUGCACACACAUGAAAACAAUCAGACAUAAACACAACAUAAGCAUGCACGUGUGCAUUCGUGUGCAUUCCUAUGCAUUUGUGUAUGCCUUCAUGGUCAACUGAGCAUGUGACAAACAGUAGUUUCACACUGAUCGUAAUCCUGACACAGAUGCUUUUGUUAUGUUGCAGUUUUAUCAAAACACAAAAUAUGAAAACUUCAGAGUUAAUCUGACCAUAAGUAGGUGAAAUCCACUGUGUGAAAAUGUUUAACUUUAUCCAUGUGAUUGACAGUGUUUGCAAAUAAGUUAAUUUCAAAAAUAUAUAAUGCACUGUCCAUACAACACGUUAUACAUAUUAAACAGCUUCGACAGAGAUGAUGAUAAACCUUUAUUUAAAAUAUGUAAUAUGACACUACGGAGGUUUUACACAGGCAGCCCAAUUUUGCCAAUAAUUUGUCUUUUGACCAAUCAUAUCAGAUCUUUUGCCAAUAAUUCAUCUUUUGACCAAUCAGAAUAUAUCCGAAUUGAGCUGCCUGUGUAAAUGCAGCCAAUGUCCUGUCAGUUUUUAUGGCUCCAUAAUCUGUUGGCUACAUGUCUCCAGAUACUACAGUCAACCCUAAGAGUAGGAGUCACAUCUCUACAGCGAUUGUUUUGGUUGAUAACCUGAAACACCAACAACCUCCAUUCAUUCAAGAUAUAUGAUAUAGUAGGUAAAACUGAAUACCAUAAUAUUACAUUAUUUAAUUAAACUGCUUCACCUUAACCUGCACCGUAUUACCUAAGUAAAUCUACAACAACAAUAGCACAUCCACUACAAGCCAGUCUGGAAGAGCUGUAAAUAUGUGUAACAGUUAUAAAGCCUAUGAGGGGGAAAUAAAGACAUUCUUACCACA
Long non-coding RNA from Oncorhynchus kisutch (coho salmon), 2368 nucleotides. RefSeq lists it as uncharacterized. Lineage: Eukaryota; Metazoa; Chordata; Actinopteri; Salmoniformes; Salmonidae. The transcript has 2 exons. The record is from RefSeq and is a predicted model, not a curated record.